RNAcentral lists this ribosomal RNA (253 nucleotides) under uncultured bacterium. RNAcentral's name for it is "partial 16S ribosomal RNA". It matches the Rfam family "Bacterial small subunit ribosomal RNA", at positions 524 to 776 of the family's 1533-position model. The record is from RNAcentral.
UACGAAGGGUGCAAGCGUUAAUCGGAAUUACUGGGCGUAAAGCGUGCGCAGGCGGUUCUCCAAGUCCGUUGUGAAAGCCCCGGGCUCAACCUGGGAAUGGCAGUGGAAACUAGGGGACUGGAAUCUGGCAGAGGGGGGUGGAAUGCCGCGUGUAGCAGUGAAAUGCGUAGAGAUGCGGCGGAACACCGAUGGCGAAGGCAGCCCCCUGGGCUGAGAUUGACGCUCAGGCACGAAAGCGUGGGGAGCAAACAGG